UUCCGGUUGAUCCCGCCGGACCUGACUGCUAUCGGAUUGAUACUAAGCCAUGCGAGUCAUUGUAGCAAUACAAGGCAUACGGCUCAGUAACGCGUAGUCAACCUAACCUAUGGACGGGAAUAACCUCGGGAAACUGAGAAUAAUGCCCGAUAGAACACUAUACCUGGAAUGGUUUGUGUUCCAAAUGAUUUAUCGCCGUAGGAUGGGACUGCGGCCUAUCAGUUUGUUGGUGAGGUAAUGGCCCACCAAGACUAUUACAGGUACGGGCUCUGAGAGGAGUAGCCCGGAGAUGGGUACUGAGACACGGACCCAGGCCCUAUGGGGCGCAGCAGGCGAGAAAACUUUGCAAUGUGCGAAAGCACGACAAGGUUAAUCCGAGUGAUUUGUGCUAAACGAAUCUUUUGUUAGUCCUAGAACCACUAACGAAUAAGGGGUGGGCAAGUUCUGGUGUCAGCCGCCGCGGUAAAACCAGCACCUCAAGUGGUCAGGAUGAUUAUUGGGCCUAAAGCAUCCGUAGCCGGCUCUGUAAGUUUUCGGUUAAAUCUGUACGCUUAACGUACAGGCUGCCGGGAAUACUGCAGAGCUAGGGA
This 590-nucleotide ribosomal RNA is filed under the name uncultured archaeon. Its description in RNAcentral is "bacterial SSU rRNA". It matches the Rfam family "Archaeal small subunit ribosomal RNA", at positions 1 to 598 of the family's 1478-position model. The record is from RNAcentral.